UUGUGUUGGGAGUGUGAAAGUUGUUAGAAUUCAAAUAGAGUCACUAGUGUUUUAAAAAAACAAACCGUGACAAAUAGAGCUGGGGAGGCCAUGAAGAGGGGAUUCUCAUGCUUGUAUGCCUAAUACCAAAAAUGAUCACAAAAGAUUCUGCAAAAAUUACAACCUUGCACACAGGCUGCUGCAACCUCACACAAAAAUUACUUCUGCAAGGACAUCUGCCUAGCAACUGCCUGUCCAACCUCGGACUGGUGUGACCUUUGUUACUGAUAUUUGUAGCCAAGGAUAAUUUUUUCAAAACCAUUAUGUAAUCCUCCUCAUUUUUUCCUUUAAAAACCUUUGUUUUUCUUUUUUUUUUGAGUCAGAGUCUCACUCUAUCGCCCAGUAAUUUAUAUGGACAAGAUUCACUUUAACCUAAGUGUUUCCACUAAUUCUACUAAUAGGUUUUUUAAUAAGUUUACUAUCUUGUGUUCCCACACAGAAGAGUUUUGUUUGCUCUCAGAAGCAUUUGUUUACAAACAGCAUUGGCUUUCCCUUCAAUUCAGAGAAAACGCCCUGUCCAAGUGACACAGUGACAUCAUCAUCAUCCAUUAGUCAAACCACCUGUCCUUUUUAGGC
RNAcentral lists this long non-coding RNA (615 nucleotides) under Pongo abelii (Sumatran orangutan). Its description in RNAcentral is "lincRNA". Lineage: Eukaryota; Metazoa; Chordata; Mammalia; Primates; Hominidae. The record is from RNAcentral.